AUUGAACGCUGGCGGCAUGCCUUACACAUGCAAGUCGAACGGCAGCACGGGAGCAAUCCUGGUGGCGAGUGGCGAACGGGUGAGUAAAGUAUCGGAACGUGCCCAGUCGUGGGGGAUAACGUAGCGAAAGUUACGCUAAUACCGCAUACGAUCUAUGGAUGAAAGCGGGGGAUCGCAAGACCUCGCGCGAUUGGAGCGGCCGAUAUCAGAUUAGGUAGUUGGUGGGGUAAAGGCUCACCAAGCCGAGGAUCUGUAGCUGGUCUGAGAGGACGACCAGCCACACUGGGACUGAGACACGGCCCAGACGCCUACGGGAGGCAGCAGUGGGGAAUUUUGGACAAUGGGCGAAAGCCUGAUCCAGCCAUGCGGCGUGCAGGAUGAAGGCCUUCGGGUUGUAAACUGCUUUUGUACGGAACGAAAAGGUUUGGCCUAAUAAGCUGAGCUCAUGACGGUACCGUAAGAAUAAGCACCGGCUAACUACGUGCCAGCCGCCGCGGUAA
Molecule: ribosomal RNA, 500 nt
Filed under: uncultured bacterium
Lineage: Bacteria
Description: partial 16S ribosomal RNA
Rfam family: Bacterial small subunit ribosomal RNA
Source: RNAcentral